GAUGAACGCUGGCGGCGUGCCUAAUACAUGCAAGUCGAGCGGAAAGGCGCGGAGCUUGCUCCUCUGACGUUAGCGGCAGACGGGUGUGUAACACGUGGAUACCCUCCCUAUAAGUGGGGUAUAACUUCGGGACACCGGCUCUAAUCCCAGAUAAUAUAUUGAACCGCAGGGGUGAAUGGUGAAAUACGGUUGUGUUGGCAGUAGUAGCUGGAUUCGAGCCUUAUGAGCUGGUUGGUGAGGUAGCAGCUUACCAAGGCCAUGGUGGGUAGCCGGCCUGGGAGGGUGACCGGCCUCCUGGGGCCUGAGGGACGGCCCAGACUCCUACGGGCGGCAGCAGUGGGGAAUAUUGCGGAGUGGGCCGAAGCCUGAUGCGGAAACGCCGCGUGCGGGAUGACGGCUUUCUGGUGAUAAACCGCUUUCGCCUGAAACGAAGCGUGAGUGACGGUAAUGGGUCAGGAAGCACCGGCUAACUACGUG
This 477-nucleotide ribosomal RNA is filed under the name uncultured bacterium. RNAcentral describes it as "partial 16S ribosomal RNA". It matches the Rfam family "Bacterial small subunit ribosomal RNA", at positions 28 to 507 of the family's 1533-position model. The record is from RNAcentral.